This 348-nucleotide ribosomal RNA is filed under the name uncultured bacterium. RNAcentral describes it as "partial 16S ribosomal RNA". It matches the Rfam family "Bacterial small subunit ribosomal RNA", at positions 338 to 683 of the family's 1533-position model. The record is from RNAcentral.
CCUACGGGUGGCAGCAGUGAGGAAUAUUGGUCAAUGGCCGGAAGGCUGAACCAGCCAUGCCGCGUGAAGGGCAGGGGCCUAGGGGCGUUAAACUUCUUUUGUGCGGGAGCAAGAAUGGGCACGUGUGGCCAGACGAGAGGACCGUACGAAUAAGCAGCGGCGAACUCCGGGCCAGCAGCCGCGGUAAUACGGGGGAUGCAAGCGUUAUCCGGAUUUAUGGGGUUUCACGGGUGCGUAGGCUGGGAGGUAAGGCAGCGGUGAAAUGCCCCCGCUCAACGGGGUGAAGUGCCAUUGAUACUGCCUUGCUGGACUGCGGAUGCCGUUGGCGGCAUGUGUGGUGUAGCGGUG